This is a non-coding RNA of Agrilus planipennis (emerald ash borer), 73 nucleotides long. The record is from Rfam. Lineage: Eukaryota; Metazoa; Arthropoda; Insecta; Coleoptera; Buprestidae.
CCUUUCGUAGUUUAGUGAUCAGAACAUCGGUGCGUAAAGCCAAAGGUCCCGGGUUCGAUUCCCGGCGGGGGUG